GUACCAGGUCGGGAUUCUCCCNCCCACACUGGACAUCUCUCAACUAGAGGCAGAGUUCGGGGGACCCACUGGAGGUCGGCCUGACAAGGUUACCGAGGAGGUUCCAGAGGCCCAGGAGGCGGCCAGUGCUGAAGUUCCUCCCACAGAUUAGGGUUUCCUUUGUAAUGGCUUCGGCCCCCAUGUACUUCAAUUUCAUGAAAUGGAAAAUUUUGUUAAAUUUCUUUUUCAAGUUCUUUCGCUUCUGCUUCUUUGUAUCUCUUUUUGUUUUAUACUUGUAUGAAUGACAAACAUUAGGCCGACUGCCUCGUGACAAUGACCAGUUAACAAUUGUGAAUCGGUCUCCUUAAGCGAACACAAGUCAGCACUUAAGUGGGUUGGAAGUGACCCCUUACUUUAACCUCUUAAUAAUCUGAGGCCAGAGCAAUUAGGAAAAUGCGAGGAAACGUUUGUUCAUCAGCUAAUAAGUGACGAUAGAAUCACUCAAAUGAACAUUUUGAAGAACUGAGGAAACCUUUCCUUGGCUGACCCGGUUUGGAACUGAAAAUUCAUUACUGAAGAUAAGUUACACCCCUUAAAAACGGUGAUUCCAUCAUUUAAUAAUCUUUACAACCAACGUCGGAUCAGGACAACUGAUUUAGUUAUGACGACCUAGGAUCAAAUUGGAACAUUCUUGUUACUGGUAAUAUUUUCUCAAGUGCUCUAUGUUCCACUUGUGAGGUAACACCCUUCCAGACAUAUCUUCGACCUCGAAAGUACCAGGUCGGGAUUCUCCCCGAAUGCGGUACGGGCCUUCCCAGUUUGGGCUAAAAACUCCUGACCCGGUUGGUUUCGAAGAUUGGAACACCCUUUUGAGAACAAGGUCGCCCAAGCGGAGAGUUCUGUUUCUAACCUUGGAGUUGUAAAAGCGGGUCAUCUUACGAUGGUAUUUCGCUAAGGUUAUCUGGGAAGCGUCUCUCUUCUCCUCAAGGAGGUGUAGUUCACUUAUGCGCGCCUCAUCGUUGCUGAUCUCAUUGAAAUGUAUCCGCCGAUGUGAUGGGACACCGACCUCGACCGGACUCAUCGCUUCGGCUCCGUAGGUCAUUGAGAAUGGGGUCUCACCCGUUGCGGUCCGGCAAGUCGUUCUGAUGGCCCAGAGGACGUGGGGGAGUUCGUCAACCCAUGCGCCUUUUGAGGCAUCCAGUUUCCUUUUCAGGGUGUGCUUGAUAGUCUUGUUCACUGCUUCGACCUGUCCAUUUGCCUGAGGAUGAUGCGGAGUCGAGAAGUCUUUCUUUAUGCCUAGUUCGUCGCAUAACUCUCGCAUCUUCCUGUUGUCGAACUGCCGCCCAUUAUCAGAGACAAUGGAGUGAGGGAUGCCGAACCUGCAGAUGACGUUUUUCCAAACGAACUUCGUAGUGUUGGCUUCGGUGAUUCGGGCAAGGGGUUCUGCCUCGACCCACUUAGUGAAGUAGUCGAUGGCGACAAUGGCAAAAGUUGCGCUCCCUCUACCCUUUGGUAGCGGACCAAUGAAGUCGAUGCCCCACUUGGCGAACGGCCAAGGGCUGGUCACUAUGGAGAGGCUCUGCGCAGGCAGUCUUUGUACGUUCGAGAAGCGCUGGCAUUUGUCACAUUUCUGGACAAAUUGGCAAGCAUCCCUUUUCAGGGUUGGCCAGAAGUAGCCCUGACGGAGGACCUUGUGUGCCAGAGCCGUCCCUCCUGAGUGAUUUCCGCAGAUCCCUUCAUGUAUUUCUCUGAGUACGUAGGUGGCCUCUUCGCCGCCCACACAUCGAAGAAGGGGAGAGGCAAAGCCUCUCUUGUAAAGGGUUCCUUCGUGGAGGACGAAGUGUGCGGCCCUUCUUCUUAACUUCCUUGCUUCACUUCUGGAAGCAGGCAGCGUUUGCUCUUUUAGAUACGCCAUUAUGGGCUGCGUCCACAAUGGGGUGACUUCUAUCCACAGCAACUCCUCACCUUCGAAGGUGGAGGGCUUUGAUAAGUGCUCAAUGGGGACGAUGUUCAGAAGCUCUGAGUUCACGCUGCUGGCCAAUUUUGAGAGGGCAUCUGCAUGAGCAUUCUCCAGACGAGGGACUUGAGUCAGUUCGAAUUUUUCGAAAUGGGGAAUUAUGUCCAGAACCAGCUUCAAGUAUGCGAGCAUGUUAUCAUCUUUGGCCGCGAAGUCCCCAUUUACUUGAUUCACCACGAGCUGAGAAUCACUGCUUGCCAGAAGCUUC
RNAcentral lists this long non-coding RNA (2204 nucleotides) under Olea europaea subsp. europaea. The record is from RNAcentral. Lineage: Eukaryota; Viridiplantae; Streptophyta; Magnoliopsida; Lamiales; Oleaceae.